GUGAUGGAAAAUUUGGGUUGGUUGCAUCUUUGAAUAGCACUUCAUGUUCAAUUGCAUUUUAGCUUUUGAACCAGUGUAACAUUUUUGAACGCAUUCUUUCUAUUGGUCCUUUUGUUCUUUUGGUCCAACUUAUGUCCAAUAUGGGAAAAUACUCACUAAAACAAAUUAUUGGAAGUCUCGUUCCUGAAUUAAUACCUUAAUUGCG
This 205-nucleotide unclassified non-coding RNA is filed under the name Hevea brasiliensis (rubber tree). The record is from RNAcentral. Lineage: Eukaryota; Viridiplantae; Streptophyta; Magnoliopsida; Malpighiales; Euphorbiaceae.